This 484-nucleotide ribosomal RNA is filed under the name uncultured bacterium. RNAcentral's name for it is "partial 16S ribosomal RNA". It matches the Rfam family "Bacterial small subunit ribosomal RNA", at positions 30 to 507 of the family's 1533-position model. The record is from RNAcentral.
AUUGAACGCUGGCGGCAGGCCUAACACAUGCAAGUCGAGCGGAUGAAGGGAGCUUGCUCCUGGAUUCAGCGGCGGACGGGCGAGUAAUGCCUAGGAAUCUGCCUGGUAGUGGGGGAUAACGUCCGGAAACGGGCGCUAAUACCGCAUACGUCCUGAGGGAGAAAGUGGGGGAUCUUCGGACCUCACGCUAUCAGAUGAGCCUAGGUCGGAUUAGCUAGUUGGUGGGGUAAAGGCCUACCAAGGCGACGAUCCGUAACUGGUCUGAGAGGAUGAUCAGUCACACUGGAACUGAGACACGGUCCAGACUCCUACGGGAGGAAGCAGUGGGGAAUAUUGGACAAUGGGCGAAAGCCUGCUCCAGCCCUGCCGCGUGUGUGAAGAAGGUCUUCGGAUUGUAAAGCACUUUAAGUUGGGAGGAAGGGCAGUAAGUUAAUACCUUGCUGUUUUGACGUUACCAACAGAAUAAGCACCGGCUAACUUCGUG